Molecule: transfer RNA, 81 nt
Organism: Astyanax mexicanus (Mexican tetra)
Lineage: Eukaryota; Metazoa; Chordata; Actinopteri; Characiformes; Acestrorhamphidae
Rfam family: tRNA
About the family: Transfer RNA (tRNA) molecules are approximately 80 nucleotides in length. Their secondary structure includes four short double-helical elements and three loops (D, anti-codon, and T loops).
Source: Rfam
GACGAGGUGGCCGAGUGGUUAAGGCGAUGGACUGCUAAUCCAUUGUGCUCUGCACGCGUGGGUUCGAAUCCACCUUCGUCG